RNAcentral lists this ribosomal RNA (253 nucleotides) under uncultured bacterium. Its description in RNAcentral is "partial 16S ribosomal RNA". It matches the Rfam family "Bacterial small subunit ribosomal RNA", at positions 524 to 776 of the family's 1533-position model. The record is from RNAcentral.
UACGAAGGGGGCUAGCGUUGUUCGGAAUUACUGGGCGUAAAGCGUGCGCAGGCGGCUAUCCAAGUCAGUGGUGAAAGCCCGGAGCUCAACUCCGGAAUUGCCAUUGAAACUGUUUAGCUUGAGGACGAGAGAGGUGAGUGGAAUUCCCAGUGUAGAGGUGAAAUUCGUAGAUAUUGGGAAGAACACCGGUGGCGAAGGCGGUUCUCUGGGCCUUACCUGACGCUGAGGAGCGAAAGCGUGGGGAGCGAACAGG